RNAcentral lists this ribosomal RNA (253 nucleotides) under uncultured bacterium. Its description in RNAcentral is "partial 16S ribosomal RNA". It matches the Rfam family "Bacterial small subunit ribosomal RNA", at positions 524 to 776 of the family's 1533-position model. The record is from RNAcentral.
UACGAAGGGGGCCAGCGCUGUUCGGAUUUACUGGGCGUAAAGCGCACGUAGGCGGAUUGUUAAGUCGGGGGUGAAAUCCUGGAGCUCAACUCCAGAACUGCCUUCGAUACUGGCAAUCUAGAGUCCGGAAGAGGUGAGUGGAACUCCUAGUGUAGAGGUGGAAUUCGUAGAUAUUAGGAAGAACACCAGUGGCGAAGGCGGCUCACUGGUCCGGUACUGACGCUGAGGUGCGAAAGCGUGGGGAGCGAUCCGG